CAGGGCCGCCAAGGCGGGGGAGGCCGAUCCGAGCAGCACUAACACGUCCUCUUCCUCCUUCAACUCCAAGGUCUCGGAUUUGACGAACAUCCUACCGAAGAGAGAAAGGGGAAAAAGGCAGUGAGGUGUAAGGAAAGAAACAGAGGCGCGAUCUUCGUGUCACAGGGGCGUGCUCCGGCGCGCACCCGAGAAGACCAGCUCCGAAUGGCGCGGAGCAGGAAGGCGAAGGAAGAAACCCAGGCAGUGCUAACCAAGGGGCACCGCACCCGGCGCUGCCGGCCCUCCUAACUCCCGGGUGAUGGGAACUAGGAAUUAGUUAAUGGGGGUCAGAAUCCCGGGGAAAGCAGUUAGCCCUGUGGUGCUGCCGGGCGUCUCUUGGCAAAGCCUCUUAGGGGUUGUAUCAAAUAGUAAACGAUUUUAAAAUGGAUUCAUUUGGUUAGGGGAGGAGAAUGGCGUGGAUGGAGAGAUGUGGACACCUCGUGAACAAGUGUGUUUGGGGGAGGUAACAAGGAGGAUUGGAAGGCACAAAGUAAAGAAAAUGAAAAUUAGAAACUUGUGAAAAGGAGCAUUACCCAUUGCAGUUCUUCAAACUUCAGACUUCCUUCUGUCUUGGAAUUACUUGAAAACUAUCAUGAUUUCCACUUUGCUCUUUGAUGUUUGUGUUUUCAUAUUCUCCCUUUUUAAAGCAAAUUCCCAAAAUAUAAAAGCAUCAUUUGCCAGUUUCCUCCUCGACUAUUUUAGAACAGCUAAAUUUCAUGUGUUAGAAGUGCAGAAAUGAAAAUGAAAGAAGAAAAGAGAGACACUUUCAAUGUUUCUAGCACACAACACCUGCCUCUCACAUAUCUUUGGGUUUCUGUCUAUCAUGAACCUGCAGAAUCAGAACCUCAUAAAAAGUCUGACCAAGCAAAAAUUAUGCUAGAAGUGCUUACUCUGUCAAACAUUGGAAGGAAAUUUCAGUUCAGAGAUGUCUGAAGUGGGGCUCAGUGGUCAGCAGAAACCUGAUGACAGCAGAGUGGUCCAGCUUGUUUCUCCUGGGGGCGUUCUUCCGAGGAUAUUUGGGCUGCCUCCAGAAUCGCAGUGUCUUGGGCCGCCGCAAGGAUGACAACGAAGCAAGAAGGCCCCUGCCAAAUGCAGGUCCCCAGGUCUUAGACUUCUCAGCCUCCAGAACUAUAAGAAAUAAAUCUCUGUUCUCUAU
RNAcentral lists this long non-coding RNA (1195 nucleotides) under Homo sapiens (human). RNAcentral describes it as "long non-coding RNA NONHSAT198941.1". Lineage: Eukaryota; Metazoa; Chordata; Mammalia; Primates; Hominidae. The record is from RNAcentral.